AUACGUAGGUGACAAGCGUUAUCCGGAUUUACUGGGCGUAAAGGGCGUGUAGGCGGUCUUGCAAGUCAGAAGUGAAAUUCCUGAGCUCAACUCGGGCGCUGCUUCUGAAACUGCAGGACUUGAGUGCUGGAGGGGAUAGCGGAAUUCCUAGUGGAGCGGUAAAAUGCGCAGAUAUUAGGAAGAACACCGGUGGCGAAGGCGGCUAUCUGGACAGUAACUGACGCUGAGGCGCGAAAGCGUGGGGAGAAAACAGGAUUAGAUACCCUGGUGGUCCACGCCGUAAACGAUGAAUACUAGGUGUAGGGGGUAUCGACUCCCUCUGUGCCGCAGUGAACACAAUAAGUAUUCCGCCUGGGGAGUACGGCCGCAAGGUUGAAACUCAAAGGAAUUGACGGGG
RNAcentral lists this ribosomal RNA (397 nucleotides) under uncultured bacterium. RNAcentral's name for it is "partial 16S ribosomal RNA". It matches the Rfam family "Bacterial small subunit ribosomal RNA", at positions 523 to 918 of the family's 1533-position model. The record is from RNAcentral.